This 377-nucleotide unclassified non-coding RNA is filed under the name uncultured Acidimicrobiia bacterium. RNAcentral describes it as "contains 16S-23S intergenic spacer region". Lineage: Bacteria; Bacillati; Actinomycetota; Acidimicrobiia. The record is from RNAcentral.
UCCGGUUUGUCACCGGCGGUCUCCUUAGAGUUCCCACCAUUACGUGCUGGCAACUAAGGACAAGGGUUGCGCUCGUUGCAGGACUUAACCCAACAUCUCACGACACGAGCUGACGGCAGCCAUGCAGCACCUGUGUGAGGCCCCGAAGGACACCACGUCUCCGUGGCUUUUCCGUACAUGUCAAGCCCAGGUAAGGUUCUUCGCGUUGCCUCGAAUUAAGCCACAUGCUCCGCCGCUUGUGCGGGCCCCCGUCAAUUCCUUUGAGUUUUAGCCUUGCGGCCGUACUCCCCAGGCGGGGUACUUAAUGCGUUAGCUACGGCACGGAACCUGUUGACAAGGCCCCACACCUAGUACCCAACGUUUACGGCGUGGACUAC